This is a long non-coding RNA of Arvicola amphibius (Eurasian water vole), 5612 nucleotides long. RefSeq lists it as uncharacterized. The transcript has 3 exons. NCBI's taxonomy places the organism in Eukaryota, Metazoa, Chordata, Mammalia, Rodentia, Cricetidae. The record is from RefSeq and is a predicted model, not a curated record.
AGGAUCUCAUGGUGGAUAACCAUCUCCUUACCAAAACCACGUAUUCUGCUGGUUCCAUUUCCUGACCUUCCUGGAUUGGUCAGAACCUCCCAGAUGACAUUAACUAGCAACGCCCAUGAGUCUCACUGGGUAGCGCCAGAUAGUCAUGAAUUCAAGAAAGCGGUGUCAGUUCUGGAAGCUAGAUUGGCGAGCUUGCUCCCGAGGAGAUGAUCUUCCAUUGGGAGUGCAAUCCACCUGCUAUCUCUUUCUGAGGCUGUCAGUGACUGGGGAGAGGAGGGGACAGCGGAAUCAGUCCCACCCCCUAAUCACCUGAGGGUAACAUGGUGACAUCCUAAUUCUGUAUUUUUUUUCUUCAAUUUGUUGGCCAGCAUGUCUCUAAAAUGUGCAUAUUCCGAAGGUAAAUAUGAAUUUGUAAAGCUGGGGUUUCAGUCUCUUGAAGAUAUUUUUACUGUUGUUAAGAUUAUUUUCAAAGUGCUUCCUGAAUCAUUGUAUAUAAACCUUUGGGGUGACAGAAUUCUCUACACCCAGAAUUUAUCCAAAGAAGUCUGAUUCCUCUGAAGAAAACAGUAUUUGAAGACAUAGCUGGGAUACCAAUUUUUUAUCUUCAUGAAAUCAAUUAAACAGAAGUCUUUCACUGCUGUUUAUAGAAAACUUAUGUGGCUGAAUAUUUAGAUUUUCAAAGUGUGAACCCCUCUUCAGUUAGUUCACACACUAACACAUUUUUAAAUCAACGACUUUUCAAAUAUCUUUAAUGCAAAACUCCAGUUUUAAGAAUGAAUUAUCAUUAGGUUUAGGAUUUCCACAAAGGACUAUUUAAAACAACGAGCCAUCUGGAACUUAAUGGAAAAAUGCAUACAUACCUCCAUAGGGUGCAAUCUUUACAGCCAUCAGAAUGUUUAAGACAGCAUCAUUAUUUUGUUAAACAGGAAAGGUGGAUUUACAAAUUAUGCUUUUAAUCAUAUGCAUUUACCCAUAAACUGUGCCCUCAAAUCUUGACAGUGCAAAUCAGACCUCCCCUAUCUCACUCCUGGCCACCCAUUUCCAUUUUUGUUUAGAAUUUGGUGUCUCUAGAUUUGCUACACCAGACAGGACUCCUCUGCCUGCUUCACAGUUGUCAAAAAUAUGUUCUUGUUCCCAUGCUUUUCAUUUCAUCUGUUCUUUGUUGGACUAGCCCUCCCAUUUUCAUGGGGAUUUCAGGACAGAGAGAAGGUAAUAAACACUGCAUUCAACCUUCUUAUAUUUUAUCUAGUGCCCAGUUGCUUUUUAAUUCUGAAAAACUUAGCAACUGUAAAACAUACAAUUUCUGAUAGAAAUAGCAAUACGUACAUAUCUUAAAUCACAAAGCAUACAGGAACAUAGAGUACAAAGGUUCGAUCUGUGUCUUAAUAAAAAGAGUUGGCUCUAGAAACAGUACUGAAAAAGUUAAACUGGUAGUAAAUGCGGAAAGGGAAUCAAGUGCAAGUCUUUAUUUUUGUUGUUGCUGUUGUGGCUUUCCUGUUUUGAAACUUGUCUGCUCUGUUGCCCAGGCUGGCUUCUCUGGAAACAAGCAAUCCUGCCUCAGCCUCCCAAGUAGUUGGGACUACUGGUAAAUGUGCUGUACCUGCUUAGUAGUUUUUAAUUGAGAAUCAAAAAUGCUAACACCAAAGCUGCACUCUGGGUUUUUGCUUCUGACACAGAAGUUUCCCCCGAUAAUUCUUAACAGCAUUACUGACCCCUCUAAUGAUGAACUAUCCUCACCAGCUGCUUUUAACUAGCAUCUUCCUUGCUCUCUCAGUUUGUUUCCUGACCCUUUAAAUAUGGAAGAUGCCUGUCUCCCUUUUACCAGUGAAGACAGGCAGCCUAUGUUCUCAAUGCGUUGGCUGUUUUGAUGCUCAGAGACCUCAAAUUAGAAAUACUAUAUGAGAACUUAAGAAUUUUCCAAGAACAAGUAUACACACCUCACAGCCACCAAAAAUACCAGGUUGAAAACAGCAAUUGGGUCUUAAAAUGCAAUAGCUGCCCAAGAUGGGACUUAGGAAUAGAAAACUUGGCUCAGUUUGUGCAAAAUCUUUUCUUUCAUAGAGAACAAAGUACUGAAGAUAAUGAAAAGCCAAGACUAAUCUUAAAAAGCUAUUUUUUCCUUAAAUAAAUCCUUCCCUGACCUGCACAUUGCCUAGUGCUAUGGAAAUCACUAAAUUCUGAAACUGUAAUGAUUUGUUUAUAAACUGGUGUCAAAAUUUAGAAAACUACACCAAAAUAAAUUCCAAACCAAAUUUAAGCAGCAGUACAUAAAGCACCAAAUUUGUAAUUACCUGGGAGUUGGUGAAAAUUACCAGUUUCAUGGAAAAAACAAAGCAGUUUCCCCCUCCAAUUAUUAGUAUUAAGUAAUUCUACUGUGAAAGUAUUAGGUGGGCACAGGUGCAGAUGCCCCUGAUUCCAGCACUUGGAAGGCAGAGGCAAGGGGUGGUGAGUUCAAGGCCAGCUACACAGCGAAACCUCUAUUUUAAAACCAAAAUAAAUAAUAUUUAUUAUGUAAUAGAUCCAAUCAUCUAUAGCUAGUCUUAAUUUUAAAAAGGAAUUUGGGGCAUAUUAUUCCACGAAGAGCACUACUUUAUGUACAAAAUAAUUUCUUUUGUAAGUAACACUAUGAUAUCAAUUCUCUACAAUAAAUCUGACAAGAUAGGAAAAUAUUAGUUCAAAAUUUCAAAUAUAUCUCCAUUAGACCAGGUUUUAUUUUGUGUAGUAGCACUCGGGAAGUGCUAUGAAUUGAAGAUGCAGUCCAUGUGCAUUCCAGGCAAUUAAUCUACCAGGAUUGUUCAGAGAUCUUGCAUGUAGCCCAGGUUGGCCUUUAACUCCCUGAAUCCUACUUUAGCCUCUGCAGUACUGAGAUUAUAGAUGUGCACUCCCAUACCCAGAUAAAUUAGACAUUAAUAAGGCACUUAGCAUGCAGAACAUUGGACACAGAAAGAAGACUGCAGGUUUCCAGUUAGGCUCAGCUCUUCACUAAGACAAGUCCUGGAGACUGACUACAGUGAAAAGCAGUGCUGCUGAGUGACUUUUAAUUGUGUGUAUGUGACAGUGAUCCCCAACAGGACUGCUCAUUGUGUGUAUGUGACAGUGAUACCCAACAGGACUGCUCAUUGUGUGUAUGUGACAGUGAUACCCAACAGGACUGCUCGUUGUGGCUCUUCCCUGUGAGCAAGGAUGCCUGCACUCGCAGGAGGAGACACCGUUCUGCUGAGCAGUCUUUCACUCAGUAGGGCAACUGCCUCUGACAGUUCUCUGAGUUCAAAGAGAGAACAGACCCGUCAAAUUGAUUUCAUCAAGUCUAUUUAUUAAUGCAUUUCAAGUUUCAAAAAACCUUACAUCUUUGCACAAUACUUUAUUUUUUGCAGGUUUUAGUAAAAAUUUCCAAAGUGAACAAAAAAAAGAUACUGUAUAAAACACAGUGGACAUUAAACUGACAGUAGUAUUAGAUCUCACUGGUCCUGAUCCUUUCAUUUUUACCACAUCUUAAUUUGCAGUGGAAACAGUUCAGUGCAUGUAUCUCUUCAGAAAACAUUUAACUUAGACUCAAAAUAAAACAAGGCAGUGUACAACUGCCAAAAUCCUACCACAGGAUAACAUUACAAGCAAAAAAUGUACAUGUUCCAAAGUCUACCACACUCAAGAAGUUACUAAGAACUCUUGCAGAAUAAAAGUCACCAUUUUAGAAAUGCAAACCCACUUCCAACCUUUGCACAGUCCAAAAACAAAGGCAUUUGAAUGAUUUAAAGCAGUGUCAUACACAGCUACCUACUUGUUGGGUUAGAAUUAUUUAUAGUCUAUCUGGGGUUUUUCAUGUACAAAAUUUGUCUCUAAAUCAUGUACAAAAAGCUGUUUUGAAAAAAGUCACCACGUACUGUACAAGUUUACAAGGAGAGAUCCCAUUGUUUCUCUAGCGUUUUUGGCCUUGCUGGCUCGCGUCACAUUAUGAGUGAUUGUGUAAACCUUAGACUCUUAAGAAAAAAGAAAAAGAAAAAAGAAAAGAAAGCCGAACACAGUAAUCUUGUCAACCUUCCCUAAAUUUGCCUCCUAUGUAAAGCCAGGAAAAUCACUGCUGUUGACUUCUAAUUUAAGUGAUGUGGCUGGAAAACAGAAGCAAUGAAUAUGUCACAAGCUUACAGUUUUUAAUGCCCCCUCCAUUUUCUGCAUAGCGAUAAGCCUGUUAAUACAUUAAAUGCUUUUGCUUUCUCUUUCUUUAUAAAUGCCAAUUAUUUAUAUCUGCUUUAAAAAGAAGUUUGUAAUGGGACACUGUGCUGUCUACCUUUAUUGUUGUUAAAUGGCUUACGGGUUGGAAAAACAAUGUCAGAAGGCCUAUCUACAAUUUCAACUACCUGCCAAGCAAAUUACUAAUUUCUAGUGGUUACCAAUGAUCAGUGAUGGUGUGCUAAAGAAUGGUCCAAAUAUUUCAAUGAAGACACUGAUUUUCUUUUCCAUAUCAGAUAAAAACUUUAAGUAUAUGGAAUACACAAAGGAAUAAGCAGGCCACAAAUGAAAAUAAUUAUUUCUGACAUAAUUCUUACCAAGGCAUCAAGGCAUGAAUAAAAUUUCACCUAACAAUUUAAAAAGGGAAUUGAAUUAGGAAGUGUAAAAUACUAAGCAGAAACCAAACAUUUACAUAAAGAACUGACUCUGAAGCCAAAUGCUGUUGCUGUCCAGUUCACACUCCGAUCAGCCGUGUUCUUCAGCACAGUCUUUCCUGCUCACAACAGCCAUGCGACAAGACAAAAAGAUGUAUGUAAGAACCAACUCCAUCGUAAGAAAAGGGAAAAUGAUUCUAUUUCAAAACUGCCCAUGUGAAGCAUUACAGAAUCCUGGACCACUGAACACCACCAUUCUCUGUUAUCCUGAGUAUGUCAAUUAAACAGUAAUUUUUCAUUAAGAGCGGGAAAAAUUUAUAAUACAAAGAAACAUCCAUAUUGCAAUUUCUGUUUACAAUUGCACAGAGAAGUACAGUGUACGUAAGAAAUACAUGUCUGCAUAUAACAAGGUAUGUACAUUGGCAAGUGAUAUAUCCAAUGUUGAGGUGGUCGAGCCUCCCAGCCUUGAUUGGCAGUUGAAAAAAAUAUAUUUCGAUUUGUGAUAAAAGUUCAUCGAGAGCCAAGUCUGUCUGCAAUGAAGAAAAUGCAGCAACGAAGAACAGGGAACACGGGGCACAUAAUAAUAUUCUAAGACUUUGUGCCAUUAGGUUAAAAAUAUCUGUCCAUAAGAAAAUUGGGUUCCUUUUCCAUCCACCCCCCCCAAAAUUGGAAUUUUCAGGCUUUAAAUUUUAAGUAAUUCCACCUGGUCUGAGGACAUGAUCUCUUGCCAUUUUUCUUCAACUAUGAACUGUGAGGGUUUCGUCUGGAGAUGAUGACUUAACAGGUUUCUCUUUGGAGUGAAGUUUUCCCACUGUAGGCACUAGGAAGAACCAAGGCAAAAGCUGCAGUUAGCGUCGCAUGUGUCCCAUUUGAUAACUCUCCCGGGGCCUCUGACGCGGGGGCUGCUGAAUGGGUUGCGGCGGUCUCCUCCUCUUUAAAGUGCCUGUAACGAAAGCAAAACAGUUUAUUGUUCAUCACCUCCUAAAAGCAAGAAAAAUUAUUCUUUGUGAC